Long non-coding RNA from Notolabrus celidotus (New Zealand spotty), 800 nucleotides. RefSeq lists it as uncharacterized. Lineage: Eukaryota; Metazoa; Chordata; Actinopteri; Labriformes; Labridae. The transcript has 3 exons. The record is from RefSeq and is a predicted model, not a curated record.
UGCAAGAAACCCCUCAGCAGCCCUCAGGUGUCACUGACCCCUCCCUCCUUCUCCAUCAUGAAGGCAACCGUUGAGGCAGUGGUCGUCGCUCCCGAAAGCACCCUGGGACUGCAGCAGCUCAUAUUCCUGAUCCAGGAAGUCUAGGCUGUUGUUGCUUGGCAACCCUCGGAUGGUGAACUUAUGGGACACUUUGGUCCACUGCUCCCGAUUUGCCGCCACUCUCUCGUACAGCUCAGUGGCCCCAGGAAACAGUUCAGAGAGCAGCCUGAAAGGACAGAGGAAUGGCGAUGAAUUCUAUCACUUUAAACCUGCAACGUUUUGUACAAUUGAUGGCUGAAGAGUAAGCUGUCAUUGACUUGACAUCAAAGCUGUUGUGUGGUGUCAUCAGACAGCGAGCGAGGUUGGUAUGUGAACUCGGCGAAACACGAGUGGAUCUCCUUCACUGGUUCGACCCCCGUGACCAGCAGCUUAGACACCUCUUCCUCUGACACCUGCAACGUACACAUACUGAAUCAUAUUGAGUGAAUAAUAUUGACAGUGUCAGUAAACAUGACAUGUCUGUGUGCAAAAGUGUGUGUGAUGAACAAAUAUGGUUUUACCUUCAUAUGGUACAUCAUCAUUUCAUUGGCCAGGUGGGACCUGAACUGAGCUUCAUGGACUUUCUUAUACAGCAGGGACUGGAGACACAAACAACAGAUUUUAGUACCAACACUUUUAACUCAAGUUCUCACAGAUUCUACUUUGAGUUGAGACAUGCAGUGAAUUUAUAAUACAAGCAGUCAUAAAGCCAGAAACUAUUA